GAUGAACGCUGGCGGCGUGCCUAAUACAUGCAAGUCGAGCGAACGGACGAGAAGCUUGCUUCUCUGAUGUUAGCGGCGGACGGGUGAGUAACACGUGGAUAACCUACCUAUAAGACUGGGAUAACUUCGGGAAACCGGAGCUAAUACCGGAUAAUAUUUUGAACCUCAUUGUUCAAAAGUGAAAGACGGUCUUGCUGUCACUUAUAGAUGGAUCCGCGCUGCAUAAGCUAGUUGGUAAGGUAACGGCUUACCAAGGCAACGAUGCAUAGCCGACCUGAGAGGGUAAGCGCCACCCCAGAAACGGGACAACGUCCCGAACCCUUAGGGGAGGCGGCGUAAGGAAUCUUUCGCAAAUGGGCAAAGGCUGGCGGAGGAACGGCGGCGUGGUGAAGAAGGUACUCGGAUUGUCAAAACCUUUUAUUAGGGAAGAACAUAUGUGUAAGUAACUGUGCACAUCUUGACGGUACCUAAUCAGAAAGCCACGGCUAAGUACGUG
RNAcentral lists this ribosomal RNA (496 nucleotides) under uncultured bacterium. RNAcentral describes it as "partial 16S ribosomal RNA". It matches the Rfam family "Bacterial small subunit ribosomal RNA", at positions 28 to 507 of the family's 1533-position model. The record is from RNAcentral.